CAAAGGUGAGCCAGUACAGGAUGGACCCGCGUCUGAUUAGCUAGUUGGUAAGGUAACGGCUUACCAAGGCGACGAUCAGUAGCCGACCUGAGAGGGUGAUCGGCCACAUUGGAACUGAGACACGGUCCAAACUCCUACGGGAGGCAGCAGUGGGGAAUAUUGCACAAUGGGCGAAAGCCUGAUGCAGCAACGCCGCGUGAGUGAUGAGGGCCUUCGGGUCGUAAAACUCUGUCCUCAAGGAAGAUAAUGACGGUACUUGAGGAGGAAGCCCCGGCUAACUACGUGCCAGCAGCCGCGGUAAUACGUAGGGGGCUAGCGUUAUCCGGAUUUACUGGGCGUAAAGGGUGCGUAGGCGGUCUUUCAAGUCAGGAGUGAAAGGCUACGGCUCAACCGUAGUAAGCUCUUGAAACUGGGAGACUUGAGUGCAGGAGAGGAGAGUGGAAUUCCUAGUGUAGCGGUGAAAUGCGUAGAUAUUAGGAGGAACACCAGUUGCGAAGGCGGCUCUCUGGACUGUAACUGACGCUGAGGCACGAAAGCGUGGGGAGCAAACAGGAUUAGAUACCCUGGUAGUCCACGCUGUAAACGAUGAGUACUAGGUGUCGGGGGUUACCCCCUUCG
Molecule: ribosomal RNA, 618 nt
Filed under: uncultured bacterium
Lineage: Bacteria
Description: bacterial SSU rRNA
Rfam family: Bacterial small subunit ribosomal RNA
Source: RNAcentral